Ribosomal RNA from Vogesella sp. LIG4, 114 nucleotides. NCBI's taxonomy places the organism in Bacteria, Pseudomonadati, Pseudomonadota, Betaproteobacteria, Neisseriales, Chromobacteriaceae. The record is from Rfam.
UCUGGUGACCAUAGCGAAGCGGUACCACGCCUUCCCAUUCCGAACAGGACCGUGAAACGCUUCAGCGCCGAUGAUAGUGCCGAUUGCCGGUGUGAAAGUAGGACAUUGCCAGAG